This 253-nucleotide ribosomal RNA is filed under the name uncultured bacterium. RNAcentral describes it as "partial 16S ribosomal RNA". It matches the Rfam family "Bacterial small subunit ribosomal RNA", at positions 524 to 776 of the family's 1533-position model. The record is from RNAcentral.
AACGCGGAUCUCGAGCGUUAUCCGGAAUUAUUGGGCGUAAAGGGUCCGUAGGCGGUGCCGUAAGUGUAAGGUUAAAGACCCAUGCUUAACGUGGGGAGUGCCUUGCAUACUGCGGUGCUAGAGUCUGUGAGAGGCUAGUGGAACUUAAGGAGUAGGGAUGAAAUCCGUUGAUCCCUUAGGGAACACCAAAGGCGAAGGCAACUAGCUAGCACGGUACUGACGCUGAGGGACGAAAGCGUGGUGAGCGAAACGG